This is a non-coding RNA of Gossypium raimondii (Peruvian cotton), 121 nucleotides long. The record is from Rfam. NCBI's taxonomy places the organism in Eukaryota, Viridiplantae, Streptophyta, Magnoliopsida, Malvales, Malvaceae.
AAUAGGAGAAUGAAAAAUUAGAUUUUCCUCCUGAUUUUCAACUUUUUCUUCUUGAAAAUUUUCAAAUUCAACUAAAAAUGUUGAAAAUCAGGAGGAAAAAUCAAAUUUUCAUUCUCUUAUU